AGUGAACGCUGGCGGUAGGCCUAACACAUGCAAGUCGAGCGGCAGCACAGUAAGAGCUUGCUCUUACGGGUGGCGAGUGGCGGACGGGUGAGGAAUACAUCGGAAUCUACUUUUUCGUGGGGGAUAACGUAGGGAAACUUACGCUAAUACCGCAUACGACCUACGGGUGAAAGCAGGGGAUCUUCGGACCUUGCGCGAUUGAACGAGCCGAUGUCGGAUUAGCUAGUUGGCGGGGUAAAGGCCCACCAAGGCGACGAUCCGUAGCUGGUCUGAGAGGAUGAUCAGCCACACUGGAACUGAGACACGGUCCAGACUCCUACGGGAGGCAGCAGUGGGGAAUAUUGGACAAUGGGCGCAAGCCUGAUCCAGCCAUACCGCGUGGGUGAAGAAGGCCUUCGGGUUGUAAAGCCCUUUUGUUGGGAAAGAAAAGCAGCAGGUUAAUACCCCGCUGUUCUGACGGUACCCAAAGAAUAAGCACCGGCUAACUUCGUG
Molecule: ribosomal RNA, 492 nt
Filed under: uncultured bacterium
Lineage: Bacteria
Description: partial 16S ribosomal RNA
Rfam family: Bacterial small subunit ribosomal RNA
Source: RNAcentral